Non-coding RNA from Lolium perenne, 350 nucleotides. NCBI's taxonomy places the organism in Eukaryota, Viridiplantae, Streptophyta, Magnoliopsida, Poales, Poaceae. The record is from RefSeq and is a predicted model, not a curated record.
CGCCUGGGCAGUUGAUGAGGCAGGGGAUGCGAGCGUCAUGGAGAUUGAAGCCGAAUCGGUUCCUGGAAGCCAUUAAUGGCAAUUGAGGCGCAGCACUCACCGGCAGCCAAUUAUGUAGUCUCUCGGUCGACCGUAGGCAUCGAUGACCACCGGCUGCAAUCUUGAGCGAGACAACAGCGGCAGAGAAGGCGACAGACAGGUCUCUAACUCCAACGCGGCGACAACGAGCCUUUCUUUCUCGAGCUUGGUAUCCGAGAUGAUUUCAGAUUUAUGUGUGGUGAGAUGAUUGGUUAUAAACGAGGGGAAAUUACCAUGUUUCAAUAAAUCUCUCUGUACCUUAUAUCCUUCAA